Molecule: ribosomal RNA, 253 nt
Filed under: uncultured bacterium
Lineage: Bacteria
Description: partial 16S ribosomal RNA
Rfam family: Bacterial small subunit ribosomal RNA
Source: RNAcentral
UACGUAGGGGGCGAGCGUUGUCCGGAAUCAUUGGGCGUAAAGCGCGUGUAGGCGGCUCGAUAAGUCCGGUGUGAAACCUUGGGGCUCAACCCCAAGCCUGCACUGGAUACUGUCGAGCUAGAGUCCGGGAGGGGAGAGCGGAAUUCCUAGUGUAGCGGUGAAAUGCGCAGAUAUCAGGAGGAACACCGAUGGCGAAGGCAGGUCUCUGGGCCGAUACUGACGCUGAGGAGCGAAAGCGUGGGGAGCAAACAGG